This 380-nucleotide ribosomal RNA is filed under the name uncultured bacterium. Its description in RNAcentral is "bacterial SSU rRNA". It matches the Rfam family "Bacterial small subunit ribosomal RNA", at positions 28 to 405 of the family's 1533-position model. The record is from RNAcentral.
GACGAACGCUGGCGGCGUGCUUAACACAUGCAAGUCGAACGGUGACGAAUGGAGCUUGCUCUGUUCUGAUCAGUGGCGAACGGGUGAGUAACACGUGAGUAACCUGCCCCUGACUCUGGAAUAACUUCGGGAAACCGAAGCUAAUACCGGAUAUGACACAGAGCCGCAUGGUUUCUGUGUGGAAAGUUUUUCGGUUGGGAUGGACUCGCGGCCUAUCAGCUUGUUGGUGAGGUAAUGGCUCACCAAGGCGACGACGGGUAGCCGGCCUGAGAGGGCGACCGGCCACACUGGGACUGAGACACGGCCCAGACUCCUACGGGAGGCAGCAGUGGGGAAUAUUGCACAAUGGGCGAAAGCCUGAUGCAGCGACGCCGCGUGGA